CAAAAAGUAGCUUAACUAAAGCACUCAACUUACAAUUGAACAAUGUUAGCAAGAUCCUAACCUUUUUGA
RNAcentral lists this transfer RNA (69 nucleotides) under Isopachys gyldenstolpei. Its description in RNAcentral is "tRNA-Val". It matches the Rfam family "tRNA". From Rfam's summary of the family: Transfer RNA (tRNA) molecules are approximately 80 nucleotides in length. Their secondary structure includes four short double-helical elements and three loops (D, anti-codon, and T loops). The record is from RNAcentral. Lineage: Eukaryota; Metazoa; Chordata; Lepidosauria; Squamata; Scincidae.